Molecule: transfer RNA, 68 nt
Filed under: Ictidomys tridecemlineatus (thirteen-lined ground squirrel)
Lineage: Eukaryota; Metazoa; Chordata; Mammalia; Rodentia; Sciuridae
Description: Spermophilus tridecemlineatus (thirteen-lined ground squirrel) tRNA
Rfam family: tRNA
About the family: Transfer RNA (tRNA) molecules are approximately 80 nucleotides in length. Their secondary structure includes four short double-helical elements and three loops (D, anti-codon, and T loops). Further hydrogen bonds mediate the characteristic L-shaped molecular structure. tRNAs have two regions of fundamental functional importance: the anti-codon, which is responsible for specific mRNA codon recognition, and the 3' end, to which the tRNAs corresponding amino acid is attached (by aminoacyl-tRNA synthetases). tRNAs cope with the degeneracy of the genetic code in two manners: having more than one tRNA (with a specific anti-codon) for a particular amino acid; and 'wobble' base-pairing, i.e. permitting non-standard base-pairing at the 3rd anti-codon position.
Source: Rfam by way of RNAcentral
GUUAUGGCUCAGCGGUAGAGUGCUCGCCUAGCACGUGAGAGGCCCUGGGUUUGAUCCUCAGCAUCACA